UCUGACGGAGCAACGCCGCGUGAGUGAUGAAGGUUUUCGGAUCGUAAAGCUCUGUUGCCAGGGAAGAACGUCGCGGAGAGUAACUGCUCUGCGAAUGACGGUACCUGAGAAGAAAGCCCCGGCUAACUACGUGCCAGCAGCCGCGGUAAU
RNAcentral lists this ribosomal RNA (150 nucleotides) under uncultured bacterium. Its description in RNAcentral is "partial 16S ribosomal RNA". It matches the Rfam family "Bacterial small subunit ribosomal RNA", at positions 382 to 524 of the family's 1533-position model. The record is from RNAcentral.